Molecule: long non-coding RNA, 212 nt
Filed under: Gallus gallus (chicken)
Lineage: Eukaryota; Metazoa; Chordata; Aves; Galliformes; Phasianidae
Source: RNAcentral
GCGGUUCAUACCCAGGAGCUCUGUGAGGCAGGGAGAGCAGCGUCAGCAGGAGCCGUGCUGGCCCCAGAACCCCAUGGGAUGCUGCAGGAGCAGGGGCACGAGGGCGUGCUGGAGCCAUCCGCGGUAGGGCAGGCGGAGCCGGGGCGGGCUGCUCCCCGCGGCCAGCAGCGCGCCCCACAGCCAGCCCAGCGCUGCCGCCGCCCGCAUCCUCC